RNAcentral lists this ribosomal RNA (496 nucleotides) under uncultured bacterium. Its description in RNAcentral is "partial 16S ribosomal RNA". It matches the Rfam family "Bacterial small subunit ribosomal RNA", at positions 29 to 507 of the family's 1533-position model. The record is from RNAcentral.
AUGCACGCUGGCGGCGUGCCUAAUACAUGCAAGUCGCGCGAACGGACGAGAAGCUUGCUUCUCUGAUGUUAGCGGCGGACGGGUGAGUAACACGUGGAUAACCUACCUAUAAGACUGGGAUAACUUCGGGAAACCGUAGCUAAUACCGGAUAAUAUUUUGAACCGCAUGGUUCAAAAGUGAAAGACGGUCUUGCUGUCACUUAUAGAUGGAUCCGCGCUGCAUUAGCUAGUUGGUAAGGUAACGGCUUACCAAGGCAACGAUGCAUAGCCGACCUGAGAGGGUGAUCGGCCACACUGGAACUGAGACACGGUCCAGACUCCUACGGGAGGCAGCAGUAGGGAAUCUUCCGCAAUGGGCGAAAGCCUGACGGAGCAACGCCGCGUGAGUGAUGAAGGUCUUCGGAUCGUAAAACUCUGUUAUUAGGGAAGAACAUAUGUGUAAGUAACUGUGCACAUCUUGACGGUACCUAAUCAGAAAGCCACGGCUAACUACGUG